AUACGGAGGAUCCGAGCGUUAUCCGGAUUUAUUGGGUUUAAAGGGUGCGUAGGUGGUUUGAUAAGUCAGAGGUGAAAGUUUGCAGCUUAACUGUAAAAAUGCCGUUGAAACUGUCGGACUUGAGUGUAAAUGAGGUAGGCGGCAUGCGUGGUGUAGCGGUGAAAUGCCUAGAUAUCACGCAGAACUCCGAUUGCGAAGGCAGCUUACUAAGCUACAACUGACACUGAAGCACGAAAGCGUGGGGAUCAAACAGGAUUAGAUACCCUGGUAGUCCACGCAGUAAACGAUGAUUACUAGCUGUUUGCGAUACACAGUAAGCGGCACAGCGAAAGCGUUAAGUAAUCCACCUGGGGAGUACGCCGGCAACGGUGAAACUCAAAUGAAUUGACGGGG
Molecule: ribosomal RNA, 393 nt
Filed under: uncultured bacterium
Lineage: Bacteria
Description: partial 16S ribosomal RNA
Rfam family: Bacterial small subunit ribosomal RNA
Source: RNAcentral